This 427-nucleotide ribosomal RNA is filed under the name uncultured bacterium. RNAcentral's name for it is "partial 16S ribosomal RNA". It matches the Rfam family "Bacterial small subunit ribosomal RNA", at positions 355 to 774 of the family's 1533-position model. The record is from RNAcentral.
UGGGGAAUAUUGCACAAUGGGCGCAAGCCUGAUGCAGCCAUGCCGCGUGUAUGAAGAAGGCCUUCGGGUUGUAAAGUACUUUCAGCGAGGAGGAAGGCGUUGUGGUUAAUAACCGCAACGAUUGACGUUACUCGCAGAAGAAGCACCGGCUAACUCCGUGCCAGCAGCCGCGGUAAUACGGAGGGUGCAAGCGUUACUCGGAAUUACUGGGCGUAAAGCGCACGCAGGCGGUCUGUCAAGUCGGAUGUGAAAUCCCCGGGCUCAACCUGGGAACUGCAUCCGAAACUGGCAGGCUAGAGUCUUGUAGAGGGGGGUAGAAUUCCAGGUGUAGCGGUGAAAUGCGUAGAGAUCUGGAGGAAUACCGGUGGCGAAGGCGGCCCCCUGGACAAAGACUGACGCUCAGGUGCGAAAGCGUGGGGAGCAAACA